Long non-coding RNA from Panicum virgatum (switchgrass), 796 nucleotides. RefSeq lists it as uncharacterized. The record is from RefSeq and is a predicted model, not a curated record. The transcript has 2 exons. NCBI's taxonomy places the organism in Eukaryota, Viridiplantae, Streptophyta, Magnoliopsida, Poales, Poaceae.
ACUUUGUGCUUUCAAAUUUAACCUGCUGCAUACUUCUUGUAUGCAUAAUUUAAGUGUUAAGGGCAUGCAUCUAUGAAAGGGGAUUGGUGAGGGAUAGAGGAGGCAUCAGCCAAGGCUUGCCCAUGAGAGAGGGCGAUGGCUAAGGGAGGGAGAAGGUGGCAGCAAAGAGAGAUGAGGGCAGAAGGGAGCUACCCCCUUAAUUCCUGCUUUCCCUUCAUUGAUAGGUGGCUGUCUAUAUAGAGAGGAUAGUGAUCCCUAAGCAAUAUAUUACAAUCUUUAAUAAUCCAGAGGCUACCUAAUCUAAUACUACCAAACUUUAUGGGUAAGUAACUAUGCAUUAGGAUCAUGGAUCUGCAUGCAUACUACAGAUCAUGUGCACAGUGCUUCGGGCCUCCUUGGAUCAAGGCUGGACUGGCAGGUCCUUGGGCCAUGUCUAGGCCCAUAACAAUUUAUUUAAAAACAAAACCAUGAUGUCAGCACAUGUGAGCGUGAAACAUAGAUAUUUUGUGAAGAAGGGUAUCCAUGGAUCCUCUGGUCAUUAAAGAAUGUGGAGUAUGUUGCAAAACUCUAAUAAAAUAUCAUGGACACUUUGUUCAAUUACUAUAUAUUGCUGGAACAGUUAUGCCACCGGUUAGUAGUUUGAUAAGUGCAGGAAAAAAAAGGAAAUAAAUUCCAUGAGGAGUUCCUUACCCUUUCUCUGUUGAUUCCUUGAUCUUGGUAUGUAAAAACUACAGUAGCUAUCCAUAUACUCCCUCCAUUUUGUUUUGAUAGCUAUAUUUCACCUUUACACAAUGAC